This 1708-nucleotide ribosomal RNA is filed under the name Foraminifera environmental sample. RNAcentral describes it as "partial Bacterial large subunit ribosomal RNA". It matches the Rfam family "Bacterial large subunit ribosomal RNA", at positions 3 to 1761 of the family's 2925-position model. Lineage: Eukaryota; Foraminifera. The record is from RNAcentral.
UCAAGUGACUAAGCGUGCACGGUGGAUGCCUUGGCAUCUGGAGGCGAUGAAAGACGUAGUAGCCUGCGAUAAGCUUCGGUGAGGUGGCAAACAACCUUUGACCCGGAGAUCUCUGAAUGGGGAAACCCACCUGUCAUCAGGCAGGUAUCCUUAACUGAAUACAUAGGUUAAGGAGGCGAACCGGGAGAACUGAAACAUCUAAGUACCCCGAGGAAAAGAAAUCAACCGAGAUUCCCUUAGUAGUGGCGAGCGAACGGGGACCAGCCCUUAAGUUGUAUUGAGAUUAGCGGAACGCUCUGGAAAGUGCGGCCAUAGUGGGUGAUAGCCCUGUACGCGAAAGUCUCUUUGCAAUGAAAUCGAGUAGGACGGAGCACGAGAAACUUUGUCUGAAUAUGGGGGGACCAUCCUCCAAGGCUAAAUACUCCUGACUGACCGAUAGUGAACCAGUACCGUGAGGGAAAGGCGAAAAGAACCCCGGAGAGGGGAGUGAAAUAGAUCCUGAAACCGUAUGCGUACAAGCAGUGGGAGCCCACUUUGUUGGGUGACUGCGUACCUUUUGUAUAAUGGGUCAGCGACUUAUUUUCAGUGGCGAGCUUAACCGAAUAGGGGAGGCGUAGCGAAAGCGAGUGUUAAUAGCGCGUUUAGUCGCUGGGAAUAGACCCGAAACCGGGCGAUCUAUCCAUGAGCAGGUUGAAGGUUGAGUAACAUCAACUGGAGGACCGAACCCACUGUCUUUGAAAAGCCAGGGGAUGACUUGUGGAUAGGAGUGAAAGGCUAAUCAAGCCCGGAGAUAGCUGGUUCUCCUCGAAAACUAUUUAGGUAGUGCCUCGUGUCUAACCAUGGGGGGUAGAGCACUGUUAAGGCUAGGGGGUCAUCCCGACUUACCAAACCGAUGCAAACUCCGAAUACCUACAAGUGCCGAGCAUGGGAGACACACGGCGGGUGCUAACGUCCGUCGUGGAAAGGGAAACAACCCAGACCGUCAGCUAAGGUCCCAAAGUCAUGGUUAAGUGGGAAACGAUGUGGGAAGGCAUAGACAGCUAGGAGGUUGGCUUAGAAGCAGCCACCCUUUAAAGAAAGCGUAAUAGCUCACUAGUCGAGUCGGCCUGCGCGGAAGAUGUAACGGGGCUCAAACCAUGCACCGAAGCUACGGGUAUCAUCUUUUGAUGAUGCGGUAGAGGAGCGUUCUGUAAGCCUGUGAAGGUGAGUUGAGAAGCUUGCUGGAGGUAUCAGAAGUGCGAAUGCUGACAUGAGUAACGAUAAAGGGAGUGAAAAACUCCCUCGCCGGAAACCCAAGGGUUCCUGUCCAACGUUAAUCGGGGCAGGGUUAGUCGGCCCCUAAGGCGAGGCUGAAAAGCGUAGUCGAUGGAAAACAGGUUAAUAUUCCUGUACUUGUUUGUAGUGCGAUGGGGAGACGGAGAAGGCUAGGCCAGCACGGCGUUGGUUGUCCGUGUUUAAGCUAGUAGGCAGAGAUCUUAGGCAAAUCCGGGAUCUUAAUGCCGAGAGGUGAUGACGGUGACUCUACGGAGUCCGAAGUGGUCGAUGCCAUGCUUCCAGGAAAAUCCUCUAAGCUUCAGCUACAAAGAAACCGUACUCUAAACCGACACAGGUGGGUAGGUAGAGAAUACCAAGGCGCUUGAGAGAACUCGGGUGAAGGAACUAGGCAAAAUGGCACCGUAACUUCGGGAGAAGGUGCGCCGGUGAGGGU